This 462-nucleotide ribosomal RNA is filed under the name uncultured Stenotrophomonas sp. RNAcentral describes it as "bacterial SSU rRNA". It matches the Rfam family "Bacterial small subunit ribosomal RNA", at positions 65 to 516 of the family's 1533-position model. Lineage: Bacteria; Pseudomonadati; Pseudomonadota; Gammaproteobacteria; Lysobacterales; Lysobacteraceae. The record is from RNAcentral.
AACGGCAGCACAGAGGAGCUUGCUCCUUGGGUGGCGAGUGGCGGACGGGUGAGGAAUACAUCGGAAUCUACUCUGUCGUGGGGGAUAACGUAGGGAAACUUACGCUAAUACCGCAUACGACCUACGGGUGAAAGCAGGGGAUCUUCGGACCUUGCGCGAUUGAAUGAGCCGAUGUCGGAUUAGCUAGUUGGCGGGGUAAAGGCCCACCAAGGCGACGAUCCGUAGCUGGUCUGAGAGGAUGAUCAGCCACACUGGAACUGAGACACGGUCCAGACUCCUACGGGAGGCAGCAGUGGGGAAUAUUGGACAAUGGGCGCAAGCCUGAUCCAGCCAUACCGCGUGGGUGAAGAAGGCCUUCGGGUUGUAAAGCCCUUUUGUUGGGAAAGAAAUCCAGCCGGCUAAUACCUGGUUGGGAUGACGGUACCCAAAGAAUAAGCACCGGCUAACUUCGUGCCGGCAGCC